GAUCCUGGCUCAGGAUGAACGCUAGCUACAGGCUUAACACAUGCAAGUCGAGGGGCAGCGGGAUUGAAGCUUGCUUCAAUUGCCGGCGACCGGCGCACGGGUGAGUAACGCGUAUCCAACCUUCCGCAUACUCGGGGAUAGCCUUCUGAAAAGGAGAUUAAUACCCGAUGGUAUCAAGAGAUUGCAUGAUAACUUGAUUAAAGAAUUUCGGUAUGCGAUGGGGAUGCAUU
RNAcentral lists this ribosomal RNA (230 nucleotides) under uncultured bacterium. RNAcentral describes it as "partial 16S ribosomal RNA". It matches the Rfam family "Bacterial small subunit ribosomal RNA", at positions 15 to 237 of the family's 1533-position model. The record is from RNAcentral.